AUUGAACGCUGGCGGCAUGCUUUACACAUGCAAGUCGAACGGCAGCGCGGGGGCAACCCUGGCGGCGAGUGGCGAACGGGUGAGUAAUGCAUCGGAACGUAUCCUGUAAUGGGGGAUAACGUAGCGAAAGUUACGCUAAUACCGCAUACGCUCGAGAGAGGAAAGUGGGGAUCGCAAAGACCUCACGUUAUAGGAGCGGCCGAUGUCCGAUUAGCUAGUUGGUGGGGUAAAGGCCUACCAAGGCGACGACCGGUAGCUAGUCUGAGAGGAUGAUCAGCCACACUGGGACUGAGACACGGCCCAGACUCCUACGGGAGGCAGCAGUGGGAAUUUUGGACAAUGGGCGAAAGCCUGAUCCAGCCAUGCCGCGUGCGGGAAGAAGGCCUUC
This 388-nucleotide ribosomal RNA is filed under the name uncultured bacterium. RNAcentral describes it as "bacterial SSU rRNA". It matches the Rfam family "Bacterial small subunit ribosomal RNA", at positions 29 to 419 of the family's 1533-position model. The record is from RNAcentral.